UGGCUCAGACGGUGAAGCAUCUGCCUAAAAUGCAGGAGACCCAGGUUCGAUCCCUGG
Molecule: transfer RNA, 57 nt
Filed under: Ovis aries (sheep)
Lineage: Eukaryota; Metazoa; Chordata; Mammalia; Artiodactyla; Bovidae
Rfam family: tRNA
About the family: Transfer RNA (tRNA) molecules are approximately 80 nucleotides in length.
Source: Rfam by way of RNAcentral